Molecule: long non-coding RNA, 7520 nt
Filed under: Gossypium barbadense (sea-island cotton)
Lineage: Eukaryota; Viridiplantae; Streptophyta; Magnoliopsida; Malvales; Malvaceae
Description: long non-coding RNA (GBAR_LNC009184)
Source: RNAcentral
GUAAAAUUUUGAACUUUUUCUUGAAAUAAAGAUCGUUCGUUUAAAUAAGUACUAAGCACAACCAGAGGUAAAAUUUAAACUUCACUAAGUAAACAUUCAAAAGAUGCCAUUUUCGCAUGGCUUAUAUACAUUAACCAAAGAUAUUCUUCCGCCACUAGUCUAUUCUAUACAUGCCAUAAGAUAAUCCAAAACGUAGCAGUACCAAACAAUGGAUAGUGAUAGUGUGACUAGUUGCUGAUGAUCCCCGAGCUUGUAGCUUCCAAAUGAGAUCUAUAAAACAGAGCAAACAGAGUAAACGGAGUAAGCAUUACAAUGCUUAGUAAGUUUUAAGCAGUGUCAACAGAUAACAAUCAAAUUAUAACAUAGUUGUUCGUAUAGUUUAUUUCACUCUUCCUUCGGGCAUACCAUCCCUUUUUCCGAAUAUGCACAUCUCAUCAUAUACAAUAGGCAGAUAAACUUUCAUAUAAAAGUGAGCUCAUGUGACAUAGAUAUAUCGUAUGAUUUCACAUAACCUCUCACACUGAUCCGAUGUCACAUAAUCAUAGGAAUAGUCUCAUAGAUUGCUCUCUAUGCAUCACAUAACUACCUUAUGAUUUAGUGCAAAUCAAGCUCACAUAUAAACUUGGAGUACAUACUUGUUUAACCUUUCGCAUUGAAUAUAUUUAUAAGCAAUUCUUAUUACGAAGUCUUACCCGGACAUAAUCUCCACACGAAAUUAUCGGGUCUUACCCGGACAAAAUCCCCACACGUAGUCAUCGGGUCUUUAGAGCUCAGAUAUAGUACGAGCACGAAGCUUACGGACAUUAAUCAGUGAUAAUAUUCUCGCAUAAAGCCUGCGGGGUUUUAACCCGGAUAUAGUGCUGACACAAAUGCCCUUCGGGACGUAUCACAUUUAUACACUUUCACAUCCAUCACGUUGGCCACUCGGCCCUGUCACAUAUAUACACUUUCACAUUCAUCACAUCGGCCAUUAGGCCUUAUCACAUAUAUACACUUUCACAUUCAUCACAUCGGCCAUUAGGCCUUAUCACAUAUAUACACUUUCACAUUCAUCACAUCGGCCAUUAGGCCUUAUCACAUAUAUAUACACUUUCACAUUCAUCACAUCGGCCAUUAGGCCUUAUCACAUAUAUACACUUUCACAUUACCAACCCUUUUAUUCAUACACAAAGAUCAACUUAGCCAAAGGCCGGUAGCUCAUUUAUCAACUGAGCGAAUACUUAUUUGUAAGGGCUCAACUAAUUCAAAGCACAUACGAAACAUACCUCAAUGUUUGGAUGUUUCAAGCGUAUUAACUAAAAUUUUUACAGCAAGAUCAUUCAUUCCCAAAUCACAUACCUUCGGAAUUUAACCGGAUAUAGCUACUCGUUCAAAUGCCUUUGGGACAUAGCCCGGUUAUAGUAACUCGCACAAAUUCCUUCGGGACUUAACCCGGAUUUAGUAACUAGCACAAAUGCCUUCGGGCUUAGCCCGGAAUUAGUAUCUCGCACAAAUGCCUUCGGAUCUUAGUCCGGAUUUAGUAUCUCGCACAAAUGCCUUCGGAUCUUAGUCCGGAUAUGGUCACUUAGCACAAAGCCUUCGGGACUUAGCCCAGACAUCAUUCAAAUAACCAUGCACAUUUAACAAUAAAUCAUGGCACAUUCGUAUUUCAUUUUCGUUAGCAAAACUCAAACACAAGACACUUAUCAUUCUUGCAAUUUCGGCUCAAUAGCCACACACAAAGAGCAUGAUUUUGAUUUGCUUAAAACAUGAUCUAAUCAAAUCAUAAUUUAAGCUCUAUUACUCAAGAACUUACAAUAUCACGAUUUAGAAUUCAAGUAUGGGUUUAAUCAAUAGCUUGUGAGCAACUAAAACAAGUUUAUCAAGGUUCACAACAUAAUCUCAAAUUCAGCACAAGCUGUUUUUCCUGAGCAAUAGUCACUAAAUUAUUUAUAACUAGAGCUAAAAAACUCCAAAUCACUUUCCGUUAAUUUUUCCUGAAUAUAGACUCGUAUAUCUUCCACCCAUAAAAUUUCCAGAAUUUUAGGUUUGGCCAAUCAAUACCAGAUUUUUCUUAAAGUUUCCCCUGUUUCACUGUUUGACUAAUCUAACCACUCUUCACUACGAAUCAAAUUUCUCAUUUUACAGAAUUCAAAAUGUGUUUUAUUUGAUUCCAUUUGAAACUAGACUCAUUAAUGAGUCUAAGCAUAUAAAUUUUAUCUUAUAAACAUUUUUUUACAAUUUAUAAUGAUUUUCUAAAAACAGAACAGGGGAUUUCGGAGUCAUUCUGACACCGUCUCACACAACUUUAAAUAUCUCAUUAUCGGAAAUUCCUUUGCUUACACGGUUUCUUUUAUAAGAAACUAGACUCAUUAAGCUUUAAUUUCAUGUCUCAUUCAGCCUCUAAUUCAAGUCCAUAAAUUUAUGGUGAUUUUCUAAAGUCACGUUACUGCUGCUGUCCGAAGCAGACUAUUUCAAAUUACCCUUAAAUUCCCAAGCUCAAACACUUAAGAACUUACCAUUUGAGCUUAGAACAUAUCAUGGCCACAUCAUAUCUUAUUAAAUCAACUCAUCAUGUCCUAUUAUAAUUGAAUUUACUCAACGUUUAAACACUUAAAACUUACCUUGGAUGUGGUCGAACAAUUUCGGCAGCUAUUCGAUCACUUCUUCCCUUCCCUUAUCCAACUUUGGUCCUCUAAGCUCUUGAGCUUAAUUUAACAAAUAAAUUGAUUUAAUCAUUUGAGCAUCAAAAGAGGAACUCAAGGUACUUAGCCCAUAUAUACAUACAUUAGACAUUAAAGUCACAUACAUAUGAAAUCAUAAAUCAAUUCAACAUAUUAGCCCACACUCUCUUUUAGCCGAUUGUCUAAGCCAAGAUAAAAGCAUCAAUAUGCUUGCCUCUAGCCGAAUACAUGCAACACCAAGCAAGAAUGAUGCAUCCAUGGCCGAGUAUCAUCUUCAUAACUUUACAAAAACAUUUGCCAUGAGCUAGCUUCUAUACUUGGUGGCCACUCCAAAUAUACAAAGAUUUUCAAUGAUAGAGCAUUAACAUACCUUAAUACAUCAAAAUAAUUAAAUUCUUCCCAUGGCACACUAAAACCGAAUAUGUCUUAUUCAAAUAUAAAUUCUCAUAUUUCAUUUAUUUAACCAUUUAACCCUCCUAUCAAAUAAUUUUCACAAACUAAUCUUAAACUCAAAAUCACAUAAAAUCGUAACACAAAAGGCAUUCAUCUAACACUUGAUUUCUAAAUUCUAACAUCAAACUCAAAUUUCUUAGCUCAUCAACUCAUGGCCGAACAUCAAUUAUUCACCAAAACAAAAAUUAACUCAUGGGUUUUAGAGAAAAUUAAGUAAGGAAUUCAAUGAUACUAAAAAUUAACAAAAACAACCUGAAUUUCACCUUGAAUUUUUGCUUCCAAAUGGCCGAAACUUCAAAGCCACAAAUUUUAUUUUCUUUCUCCUUUGUUCGGCCUCCAAGAUGAACUACAUGCAUGUUCUUUUUUUCUUUUUUUUUAUGCCCCAUACCGUCCAUAUCAAUUGUCUAAGGUUAAAUAUCAUCACAAAUACUCCAACUUACAAAAACAACUUCAAUUCGGCCCUGAAGAUACAAACAUGCAUGGCUUUCCAUUUUAUGUUUUAUAAUACUUAUUUUUAUGUUUUAUAAUACUUAUAAAAAUAAUUAUCUCACAAAUAACUUUAAAAUAAACAUAUAAAGACAUCAUGCAUUAAGCCAUUACCAUCCAUAUAUUUAUUAAUGAUAUAAUUGCCAUUCAAAACCUCAAUAUUCUAAAGACAUAACACUUUAACAUUUUCAUGAUAGCAUGCUUAUUAAUCAAUUGAUGCAUUUUAAUCCUUUUUAAUGACAUAAAGAAAGAAAGAAAAAUAUUUACCAAGAGUUUCAAACUACUUGGCCGAAUAUCAAACCUCCAAACAACCAAAAAAUUUAACUCAUGGAAUGGAUAGAAUUUGAACAAAUCACCAAAAUUAUAUAUAAAUUUUCAAGAAUUUCAAAGUACUUACCUCUUUCUAAAUAUUCUCCAAGCCGAAAUCAUACAAAGAAAUUUUUUUCUUCCUUCUAAUCUCAAGUUACGGCAAUGGUAGAGUGAGGAUGAACCAACUUUGUUUUUAUCACCCAUUUCUUUUAAUAUAAGUUCAUAUUUCAUAUUAUUUAUUCAUUUAACAUUUAAUUUAUUAAUAUAAAAGGCAUAUAUUUUGUAUCCCAUGCUCCUUAUUUUAUCAUACUUCCCAUGAAACACUAACUUAACAUGUUUAUGACAUGUUCUUGCCCAUCACACUUGGUCUACCAUACUUGUCAUGGCCGGCCACUACUAAUUAGGGGGGAAAUUGACAUGCAAGUCCCCCCUUUUUAUUUCAUGCACUAAUAGAUCCUUAUGCUUUGACCUAUCACAUUUCAAAAUUUUCUCACAUAAGUCCUAUUUGAUAAAAUUCACUUACUAUUAACAAAAUUCAAACAUGAAAUUUUCACACAUGCAUAUGUACAUAUAAUGAGCAUCAACUAUGACGGUUAAUUAUCUUUAUGACUCGGUUUAGUGGUCCCGAAACCACUUUCCGACUAGGGUCACUUUAGGGGUGUCACAGAUUAUGCUUAUUCCAAAGAUUAUUAAUCCUUCUAAUCUGACUCAUUUUCGGCCAAUUAGUCUCUGUAAUGUUAUUUAUAAACUUGUGGCAAAGGUGAUUGCAAAUAGAUUUAGAGGAGUCAUUGAUAAAUGUAUUGAUGAAGCACAUAAUGCAUUUGUGCUAAGGAAACUCAUAACAGAUAAUGCACUAGUGGCCUAUGAAGUUUUACAUUCAAUGAAACAGAAGAGAGGGGGGAAGAAGGGAUUUAUGGCCAUCAAGUUAGAUAUGAGUAAGGCCUACGACAAAGUAGAAUGGAAUUUUAUUCAAGAAAUUAUGAGUAGAAUGGGUUUUUCUCAAAAAUGGAUUGAAUCUAUUAUGAAAUGUAUCUUUAGUGUUUCUUAUUCAGUAGUGGUUAAUGGUAACAAAAGAGAUAUAUUCUAUCCAACAAGGGGACUUAGACAAGGAGAUCCAUUAAGCCCUUUUUUAUUUCUGAUAUGUGGAGAGGGUCUAUCAGGUCUAAUGCGAAUGGCUAUUAGCGAAGGAGUUAUAAAAGGUGUUAAAGCUAGUAGAAGUGGCCCCAGGGUGUCUCAUUUACUAUUUGCUGAUGACUGCAUAAUGUUUUAAGAAGCAACAAGAAGGGGAGUAAGAGCAAUCAAGCAGAUUUUGCGUGAAUAUAAAAAUAGUUCAGGUCAGUUCGUAAACUUUGAAAAAUCAGCAGUAUUUUUUAGCAACAACAUAUCUGUGGAAGUUAGGCAAAUAGUGAUCACCCAAUUGGGAAUCCACAGCUCCAAUGAAUUAGAAAGGUAUUUAGGACUGCCAAGUUUAGUUGGGAAAAGGAAAAAAGAAUCUUUUCAAGCAUUUAAGGACAAAAUGAAACAGCGGAUUGAUAAUUGGUGUAUGAGAUUACUGUCUCAAGGUGGAAAGGAAAUAUUUAUUAAAUCAGUUUUACAAGUGAUACCGACUUACUCAAUGGCUUAUUUUUUUAUUACUGAAGACAUUAUGUGAUGAAAUGGAAGGCAUUGUAGCCAAGUUUUGGUGGCAAAAGGGACGUGGAAAGAAAGGAAUUCAUUGGUGUUUAUGGAGAAAUAUGUGUUCUUUAAAAGAAGUUGGAGGUAUGGGUUUCCGAAUUUUUUGCCAAUUUAAUGUUGCGUUAUUAGCCAAGCAGGGCUGGAGCCUUAUUAAUAAUCCGAGUUCCUUAUUAGCCAGAGUUUUUAAAGCCAAAUAUUAUCCAUAAUCAAAUUUUUUAAACGCAUAGUUGGGUUAGUUACCUUCAUAUACCUAGAAGAGCAUUUAGGCAGCACGAGGGCUCAUUCAGGAUGGGUUGUGUUGGAAAGUCAGUCGAGGGACCGAGAUUGAUGUCUGGACUGAUUGCUGCAUUCCUGGAUGUGAAGCCAUUGGUAGACAAGGUAGAGAGACAAACAGUGAUGUCCUAUUAGUUUCGGAUUUAAUCAAUAAUACUAGUAGGACUUGGAAGCGAGACCUGAUCAAUAAUACCUUUCAAUCAGGCAUAGCGCAAAAAAUUUUGAAGAUUCCUUUGGCAGAGUCAGAACAUGUUGACUUUCAGGUGUGGAAAGAGGAACCUUCAAGGGAGUUCUCAGUAAGAAGCGCCUAUAAACUAUUACAUCAUUCUAGCUCGAAUCCUAAUAUUUAUCCAUUACAACCCAAAAUAAGAAACUUCUAUAGAAAAUUGUGGGAUUUACAGCUACCGGGUAAAAUAAAGAUACUAGUUUAGCGAAUUUCCUGGAACUACAUCCCUUCCCUAAUAAAUCUAAGAUCCAAGAAAGUAAUAGAGAAUGCUCUGUGCCCUCGGUGCAGACUCAAAGAGGAAGACAGUAACCAUAUCUUUAGAUUUUGUCCUGCAAUCAGUGAAAUAUGGAAUCUCAUUAAUCUCUCUUAGACCAUUGAUCAUGAUAAUCAAAGUUUCUAGAAGUGGCUUAUCUGGGUUUUUGAAAGGAGUACAAUGGAGCAAUGUCGGUCCUUUUGUUGUGCGCUAUGGUGCGUUUGGAGUUCCCGAAAUCAGCUUGUACAUGAAAAGAAAAUCAUACCAGUUAGGGAUUUAGCAAGGAAAGUCAGCAGUUACAUAGCAGAACUGGAAGGGAUCCGAAUGAAAACAUUUACCUCUUCUUCCAAAAGGGACAACAGUUAUACUAGGGCGACGGAGGGUACCACAGUUCAGUUUGAUGCCGUUUUUGACAAAAGAAAUGAUAGAUCUGCCUCAGGUAUAGUCGUUCGAGACUAGACAGGAGCUUUAAAAGCCUCAAAGUCAGUUAUACAUGAGGAUACCCCGACCCCGUUCGCAGCAGAAGCCCUCGCAGGAUUAGAUGCCAUUAAGUUAGUAAUAGAAAUGAGGUUAACAACAGUAACAAUAGAGAGGGACUCGAGAAUAGUCAUUCAAAAAUGUCAAUCGACAGAAAUUGAUAAGUCGGUCCUUGGGGUGAUUAUUUAUGACAUACAGACCAGAAAAUCCAGGGGUUCAAGACGUUACUUUCAAGUUUAUCCAUAGAACGAAUAACAUUCAAGCCCAUAAUCUAGCAAAAAAAGGGUUGGAGAGAAGGGAGGACUCAUACCUGGGAGGGAAGACGACAAUUCAUAGAGUUGCAGACUCAGAGGGAAGAUGGAGAGAAUCGCCAGAUUGAAGAUGAAUGGACAAGGAGUAGGGUGCAGUUAAGGGUAGCAAGGAAUUGAUAUCUUAGGGAACGACUAUCUGCAAAGGCAUGGCUGUUGGGACGUGAAAAGACGAGUAAAGAAUUAAAUGGCCAGGCUGUUAGAUGUGACUGGGAGAUUUUCUGUUGAUUUCCUUUUGUUUUUCUAUUUUUUUAUUCUUUAUUGUCUUUUAUCAUCAUUUCUGAGAAACGGGCUAGCUAUUAAGGAAGCCCAACUUAGUUUGUUUUGUUUGUUUGGCAGUCGGACUUAAGCCCAAAUGUUAAUUUGGGUAUUGGUUUUAUUCUAUUUGUAAAGAGCCC